UCGAGCGAUCUCGACUACCACACGUUGCACGUAGUCGCGGCGUGUGGAGGGGAAAAGGUGAAAUACUUGCUGACGAAGAAACAGAGGAGCCGAAGUACAACCACUAACGUGACCUGUAGCUGCUGUCUUCAUAGAGUAUUUUUUUUCUUUUUAGAAGCUCGCCCGGGCACCACCACGAACACCAACAGUGCCGUCUGCUAGACUCUGGUGUAUCCACAGAGUAGACAUUGGGUCGCUUGUCUUCUGAUGUCGCACUUGUGCAGCUCGUUGUCGAGGACUCCACCACGGGGUGGAGCGAUAUCUAUGCCGCGCGAUUUGUCGCAGACCCCCGCCAUCUCUCGACUUGGAAGCACCGUGAAGACGCCGCACAUCCAAAAGUGUGUCGUUGACCAAACAGAGGACGAUGAUCAUCCACUGGAGCACAUGACGGUCUAUUUCGAGGAGGAGGACCUUAGACUGGUUACUACCGGGCUGCUUGGAAAAGGUGGGUUUGGAAAGGUAUUUGAUGCCGUUUCGAACAGCGGUGAGGCCUACGCGCUCAAGGUGUCAUCGAAGCGCAUGAGCGAAAAUGACUGGAAGCGACUGAAGGAGGAGGUGACGCUCAUGAGCCAUUUCUCGCGCCAUCCCAACAUUGUGAAAUUCUAUGCUGCUGGUAGGGAUGAAGAUCGCGCCUACGUAGUGAUGGAGCGGUGCGCAGGCAAGUCGCUUCAUGACGUCAUAGCCAGCAGGGGUCUUGAUGUGCCGGAGAUUUUGUGGAUUGGGUGGGCCCUGGUGAACACCAUCUCCUACAUUCAUUCCAAAGGCUGCAUUCACCGCGACCUGAAGCCACAGAAUCUCCUGUUUGACCACGAAGGUAAUUUGAAGAUUACAGAUUUCGGACUUUCCAGCCGCAUAUCAGAGGCGCAUCCUCGCAAGACGGUUGCCGGUACAGCAAUGUACAUGGCGCCUGAAAUGGCGACUGAGGUUUACAAGCGAAUGACAAAAAACUCGGACGCCCCUUCGCUGAGCUACGGGAAGGAGGUGGACACGUGGAGUAUUGGUGUGGUCCUCUACGUGCUCUUGACACGCAUGAAUCCGUAUCUCGAGGCGAUAGAACAGAAAGGUAUGCGCCAACUGGACAAGGAGCACAAGUCGCUUGCCCUCUUCAACGCUGUAGCGGGUGCUGCGUGGAGUUGGCCAAGGGAGUGGAGGGGAGAUCCACAGCUCUGCCGACUUGUGGAGCGCGUGCUGCACCGCGAACCGUCGCAGCGCGCCACGCUGAUGGAGGUGCUCGAGGACUCUGUGUGGAACCGCCGGCCACUGUCCUGCCCACUCUCGCUGCUCCAGAAGCUCAACUUGCUGGAACCUUCGCCGUCGAGUGGCCUGCCUCUGAACAACCUUGCCGAGAAUUUACAGUUCCGCCCGAAGCGAUCGGCGGAGGCGGUGCUGCGCGAAGGGCUAGAGCGUAUCGAAGCCACUGAGCAACGCGGCCGUGCGCAGCUGGAGCUUGAGUACUACGAAACCUACAAUGUCCUCUGGUGCCUCCUUACUCUGGCGCGGGCGGAAGAGGAUGCCAGGGCCGACAUCCUCCAGUCCGAGGAGGUGCAGCGAGGAAAGCUGCGCAAUCAGUCUCUGGCUCGCCAGUCUGCCCGUGGGAGGUGUGGCAGCGUCUCACUGGUGUCAGAGGUUGCCGAUCGCGAGGUAGCCGCAUCUCGCACGUCUCGAUCAGUGCGUCGAAGCGUCAGCUUGACCGAGCAGGAGCAGGGCAGACUGGUGCGUUCCAGCCCGGUCCAGUACGCAGUGGUGUACCCGGGGCGUGACACCGCCACUCGUUGGAACCUUCGCGCCGUGGUAUCGCUGCCACGCGACAUGACGGCCGAGAUCGAGCGCGAGUUCAAGUGCAUGAACGGGCACGUAAUGACAAAGUUGACCUCGAUGCCGCACGGCUACAACGGCUUCGACUGCAAUGUCUGCGAUCGCGGCAUUCUUAAGAUCACGGGCGAGUCGCCGGCCUUCCGAUGCUACAAGUGCGACUACGAUGUUUGCAUGAAAUGUGCGUAUUCCGGCAAGUUCAAAGACGUCAACUUUGUCUGUGUGACGUGCGCAAAGCGCUUCACCUCCACCGCAAAGCUGCAGGGGCAUACCUUGCGCUGUCGCGGCCCGAGCGAAAGUCCCUCACCGCGGCGAUCGUCUCGCAUGAACACGAUGCUCUGGGACGAGCCGAAGAGACCGAGCCUGCUGGAGGUACAGCUGCCUGAGGCUCCCCAGAGUGAGCCGAAGCUGCGCGCCAGCCGCUGCCGCUCCGGACGCCCCACAUAUAACCGCACAUCGACCGGUGGCCGCAUCAGCAUUGGAGACCCGAAUGCGCACAGUGUGGUGGACUUCGACGCAAUGGUGGCCGAGCACCGCGAGGCUGACUUUCCCAAGGUGAGUGCACGCGCGUCCGCCACCGGCCGCGAAUCCUCCCAGAAACGGGAGCGCGCAGGUAGUAGGCGUGGCCGACCAUCCACCUCGUCUAGCGGUAGCCUUUCACUAGACUUGCCGCCCCAGGUGCAGGUACCAAGCAAGGAGUCGCGCGCACAGGUGCAGCCGCGCAGUUCCGCCGAGCUGCGCGAUAUCAUGGAGGAGGUGGAGCAGCGGAAACAGGCACUGCCCCGUGACCCACUCUUGUCCGGGCCGGCCACACCGCCGCAGUACAACUGCAACGGUGAGAUCAUCGGCAUUGCUGCUCGUCGCCGCGCAGAGAGCCUGGAGAUGGCGCGCGCGGAAGUCAUCACAAUCCGCGCUGAGGUCGCGGACCGGCCCCGCGAGCUGCAGCAUCAGCCGCGUGUGCCGCGCAGCGCCUCCUCAUCGAGAGCGGAGAAGGGGCUUCAGGGUUCCCACAAGCGCCGUCGCGAGGAGUGGAAGCAGUCCGCGCGUGCGCCGUCUCCAUCCGGUACGGCGAAGCGAGCCGCCGUGGAGGAACACGUGGCGAAGCAUGCCAUCAUGCCGCCUCAGGUGCCACGCGGGCGAGCACAGCAGUCGCGUGCCCCCUCCGUUAGCGGGCACACCGCACAGGGCGGCCCACCACUGCCGCGCCGCGGCCCAGCCGCGCCAUUUCCUGCAGCCGCUUUGAAGGCCCACCUCGGUGCCUUCCAGGUCCCUGCUGCGAUUCCUCCUAAGAACUUUGCCUCCAUCCUGCCGUCGCGCUACUCCAUGACGAACGCAAUGGCGCCCACGUGCAACACUUCGACAACAAGGCCGGCGGACGGAGCAGGAGCUGCGGCUGCUGAUCUUGGCCGGGGGGGUGCUCCGACAUACAGCCAUGUGCUGGGCCGGCCCAACGGCGCCUUUUUGGCGUUGCCGCGCGAGGAGCGGAAUCGCCAGCAAUUCUUGGACGACUUUCUUAGUGGUGGCUGGGUGCGUUUCUACUCUUUUACAAACGAGGACACCGUCGUCAUGUACUACUCACUGCAGCCUGGUCGCUACGGGGCCAUGUUUCCGACCGAGGCAGGCGUCGGCACUGCUGUGUUGGACGUGUACUCGAAACUGGUCCUCUAUGUGCCGUGCAUGAACAACGAGAGCACGAACCGCAGUCAACCCCACCCACACGUACAAACGUUCUACGACGAAGAGGCGCGCAUUCUUAGCCUGCCUGAGGCGCAGCGGUACCUGGGCGGCGUACUACGCUGCAUCACUGGAUUUGUAGAUGAGUUUAGCCGCUUGAAGGCCGAGGGACUUACUCCGGCGGCGGUGCAUGCUGCCUACAUCCACCACCGUAGCAUGUCCCACGUGCCGCGGGAUACGAAGUUCGUGUACAUUCGCAAAGUAUUCCCCGACCCGUCUGGGUCUUUCACGCUGUUCCGCCUGUCGAACCUGCGCUCGCAAGUCGUUUGCAACGCUAUGGUGGACAUUCGCUGGCAGAGUGACCGACGCCACAACGUUGGCCAAAAGUAUUACAUCAACGCAGACGGCACCGCUGAGCCUUUUCUCGUUGAUCAAACCGGAAUUCUGUCGCAGCUGGAGACGGUCCUCAACAACAAUUUCAGGAGAUGAAGAGGACAGCGCAUCUUUACUUGGUUGAUUUCGUGUUUACAUGUAUCUUUUUCAUUGCUUCGCUGCGCUUUUUCCCACUUUUUGCUGUUGUUGCUAUCCUUAGAUUACCCUUGUGAAACGCCGCGCUAGAUGUGUGACCACGACGAGAGCCGUGGCACUGCGGCACUGCGAGCUGGUGAAGCUUGACAGGAACGACAAAGGAUGUCGCGGCGACACCGAUUCGCGUGGCGUUGUGGCCGAAUUUCGGACUGUAUGUGCACGCACGAAAUGAUGAGGUGUGUGCUGUGUGCCGUGCCAGAGCGCUACUUGAUCACAUUAUUCCCUACUCCUAUUACGAUGGUGUCUUUCUUCGCACCCCCACCCCCUCUGCCGCAGCCACCACUUCCACUCUCGAUCUCGUCACGCAUGUAUGUCAAUGCCUGUUCGUGUUGCUUUACCAGUUUUUCUUUCCGCCUUUUCGACCGCAUCCCCCUUCUCGCGUUUGCGUCCGUUUAAGCACUCGUCCUUCCUCAUAGAACGAAGAAGCUACGCAGAGAGGCAAGCGGUGUAAGAGGAAGAGGAGGGAGAGGGGGAGGGGAGUGAGGGGUGUAGAAGCAGUCGACGUGCUCUCCGUUUCUCAUUUCUGCUGGAGUUGUUGUCCCCUGUAUUGCUCUUGUCGCGGCGUUCUUCGCGGCUACCUCUGCUCCCCGUCUACCACUUCCAGCGUCGCCUCCGCCUCUUCCUUUUCUUGUUUUUUUUCCAGCUUCUGCAUCUUCAUGGUUUCCAGUUUUGAUAUCUGUUUUGGCGCCAUAGAAUUGUGAUUCUCUUCCGUUUCCGUUCCUUCCGGAACUUUUUUGUUGAUUUGGGUUUCACUCCGUGUUGCGCUGAGCGGAUCAGCUGACCGUACAUACACUCCGCCCACCCCCUUUUGUGCUCUCCUGCGCCUUCCUGCCACAGGUGCUUUCCAUGUGACUUGUCCGUCUUUCUCCCUGAACGACGACAACAAACAACAACAUAAAGAAAUGUGCGGGGGACGUCGCCUGCAUCGAGCGCGUGCCCCCCCCCUCCCCCUCCUUCUGCGAGCCGCACUCGCGCACGUGACACGAUGGAGCGCGCUGCUUUUUUUUUUUUUCGCUUUGUCGCACGCUUCCAUUUUGUUGGCGGCGCUCUCGCUCUGUAGGCGAGACGGCGUAAGCGCGGGAAAAUGUCUUCGGUGUGCUGUCGUGUCCGCCAGAUGAUGUGUUGGCUCUCUGCACACUGGAGCGUUUCAACAACAAAAAAUGG
This 5277-nucleotide unclassified non-coding RNA is filed under the name Leishmania donovani. Its description in RNAcentral is "gene:LdHU3.36.7410(CDS-product:kinetoplastid_kine tochore_protein_2_putative)". The record is from RNAcentral. Lineage: Eukaryota; Euglenozoa; Kinetoplastea; Trypanosomatida; Trypanosomatidae.